UACAGAGGGGGCAAGCGUUGUUCGGAAUUACUGGGCGUAAAGGGCGCGUAGGCGGCCUUCUAAGUCGAACGUGAAAUCCCUGGGCUCAACCCAGGAACUGCGUCCGAUACUGAAAGGCUUGAAUCCGGGAGAGGGAUGCGGAAUUCCAGGUGUAGCGGUGAAAUGCGUAGAUAUCUGGAGGAACACCGGUGGCGAAGGCGGCAUCCUGGACCGGUAUUGACGCUGAGGCGCGAAAGCCAGGGGAGCAAACGGG
RNAcentral lists this ribosomal RNA (253 nucleotides) under uncultured bacterium. Its description in RNAcentral is "partial 16S ribosomal RNA". It matches the Rfam family "Bacterial small subunit ribosomal RNA", at positions 524 to 776 of the family's 1533-position model. The record is from RNAcentral.